AUUCCGGUAGUAAAUGGUUCCUAGGCCAGAUGUAAUUUGAGAAUGCAUUUUUUAGCAAUGCAAGGAUAGUUUUUCAUCAAUUUUUACCCUGAUAUCAUGUGUGAAUGUCUUUCUGUAUCAUCAUCAAUUAAAAUCCAAGAUUGUGCUUGCUCAGGACCUUCUGAGUGGAUGCAUUUGGAUAAAACCUCAAGGUUUUAUCCCUUAGUGAACUAUUAAAAGUUCAUGAGAUCUUGAUGGUCUGAAUUUCAAAGGAAGUCUGUAAUGGCUCAGAUGGAUGCUUCUUAAAGUGCCAUUUAGCAUCCAAGCAAAUUCUGUACCCACCUCUCUUUUUAUGCUUUCCAUGCUGGACAUUAAGUUCAUAUGUUUCCUUCAGAAAGAUCCCCUAAGUUUCUGUUUGCUUUUUUAGAUACAAUUUUUUUCUGAAAUUCAGGCCACAUCUUUCUUACUUGCUUCAGAAACAUCCCAGAAAGUAGAAUGCCUUGUGGAGAAGUCAAGGAUCUUAUCACACUGAGCAUCAGUCAGUGGUGCAGCCCAUGAGGCAUGUUGAUAUCCAGCACUGUGCCCAUGCUGCUGAGCUGUGAGCUGAGCAGGUCUGGGGUAGCUGUCAGUUUGGGUAUUCGGCAGCCUAAGCCCUACCAUUUUUUAGUGGGACUUGGUAUCUUAGAGAAUUUUGUCAAUUUCCAAAGUAGAAUUUAGGCACUUUUGUAACUUUUACUGUAAGUAUAGUCCAGCAAAAAGUUUGUGAUUGGCCCCAGGUGUUAAUUAAGUGCUUGUGCAAAGUCUCGUUAAAUAUGUGGCACAUGAUGCUUGGUCGAUGUGGUGUGAUCAUGUGCUGGUAAUGGUGAGGGCUUUGGUGUUGAUAAAGAUGGUUGCAGGUUUGAGUCCACUCUCUCACUGAUUUUCCAUACGCACAGCCAGAUACGCCAGGCAGUGUGAGCUUGGGCAGCCCAGCAAACCCAGCUCUGCCCAGGGCUGUGAUCCAGAGAAGGCACAUGACACUUGACCAGUAAAUACCCCAUGAGAUGCACCAGCUGAUUCAAGCAUGGAAGAGGCAACACAGAUGUGCUGUGGAGGUUGGGAGGGCAGCAAUGACAUCCUGUGUCUUUUCUGUGAGACUUUUGACUGUCAGAAAACCUGCAAUUCAUAAAAAUGUGUAUUUGCUACUACUUUUGCAAGUACUAUUAUGUUUGAGAUGUUCCAGUGUUAUUAGAUUAAGGAAGAAAGGUUUCUAAUUCAAGGACAAAUGUGAGACUUGCUUCAGCAUCUAUUCUGUUGCCUCAUAGGUGGAAGAUUAGAUUGAGUCACAUGUCCGGAGAAGAGAACCUGCCUCUCCCAGGUCUGCUGCAGGCACUGUAGCUGGGAGGCAGGCAUGGAUGGUUGCUUUCUCUUUCCAGUCUUUGGCCUGGACAUUGGCCUGAGAACUUGGGGUAUUCAUCAGCUGUUAGCACAGCUCUGGUGUAAUUAGUCCUCAAGUUGCUGGAGCUGUAGAUAAUACAGGGAGAAAGUUAAACUGGCAAUUCUUGGGAAAGAGAAAAGGAAAUUGUAGUCCAGUAUGAAACAAACUUUGUACAGCACAGUAUUCCCUUUCUUUCAAAAUCAAAUGUAAUCCCCCUAGAAAGAAGUAGCGAUGGAGUUUCUGGGCUUUUAAUUACUGUUUGAUGUUGCAACAUUAGUCAAAAGAGUGGCAGUACUGCAGAGAAGGUAAUUGUUCCCAUUGGGGGAGGGGGGGAAGUGUCUUUUUUUGGUAUGUAUAUUUUUAGGUGACCCAACAAAUAAGAGUGUCCAUGCCUGCUGAAGAAAAUUCAUAUUAAGUGUUUCUGAACAGGUGGGGGAAUAAUUGAAAUUACGUGGCAGCUGUCUUAGCAGUCAUUGGGAGAGCGAGCAAAAAAUACUGUUUAUUGGAGGCAAACUUUGAAUUAGAGCAAAAUAGGACCAGUACUUUUGAAAACAACUUAGUGUGAUAAAUCUUUCUUUGACUUUUCAUCGCUUUCAUUUAGCAAAACAACAUUCCUCUGGAGGUAAAUCAAAGCAGGGGUUUAGCCCCUGCUGUGGCAGUUAUUGAAUCCCAGUGGUGAAGGGAGCAGUGCGAGAGUUAUCCUCCAUUUACAUCCUCAUUAUGAUUUAUUCAGAGGCCAUUAGUGGGAUUUUCCUGGCAGGCAGGUGUUCUCUUGAAGAAAAAUACAUCAUGCCUCCUCGGUAGGAUGCAGAACUUGCCUGCAUGAGCACCCACCUGAAUUCUUAGGACAAUAUAAGCUCCUCAGGAGCCUGCAGGCAGAGGAGUGCGGGUGGACUUGGGGGGAUUCUAUUCCUGCAAUGACAAAAGGGGGCAAAAGCUUGAGCCAGUUAAAACAAUUCUUUGAUAAAACUGAAACACCAGUAAUCAUUAUGGAGUUUGAAAGCUUGCCAAUGUCACUAGAGGUGUGUGCCAAAAUUCCCCAAGUGCUUGCACAUGUAAAACUAUUUCUUCUGGAAGGUGAUGAGUUCAGGUAAAGCCAGUUAGUCUUGCACAUGAUCUAUCAUGCUGAAAGACAUUAGUAGUAAACUAGUAAACUAAGACAAAUUUUUGAUGUAAGUGCUUUAUUUCUCCCUCAUUAAAGAAAAUUUUCUUGGUGCUAGAGGAGGAAAAAUUAUGAUGAUACUUAUUUCAGUUGAGCUUUUCAGGUGGUUAGUCCAUGCCAUUGUUUCUUACUUGCAAUGCCAAGGUAUAGAAGUGGAACAACAGAUGAGACUUGUUCUGCUGUAGAUGGCAGAACAUAUGGGAGCUGUGUGCAGCAAGGAGUAGCUCUGAAAUCUGCAAGUGUGAAAAAUGUAUGCCAUCAGUGAAUUAUAUAGGGACACCCAGUUCUUCUGUCUGUCUGGAAGUGCAAGAGCAUGCAUAAAGGACUUUGCCACAGCUGUGGACCAUGUACCUGUCAUGAUUGAAUUCUCUUGUCCUAAUUAAAAAAAAACCAAA
This is a long non-coding RNA of Neopsephotus bourkii (Bourke's parrot), 2953 nucleotides long. RefSeq lists it as uncharacterized. The record is from RefSeq and is a predicted model, not a curated record. NCBI's taxonomy places the organism in Eukaryota, Metazoa, Chordata, Aves, Psittaciformes, Psittacidae. The transcript is spliced from 2 exons.